This 326-nucleotide ribosomal RNA is filed under the name uncultured Bacteroidota bacterium. RNAcentral describes it as "bacterial SSU rRNA". It matches the Rfam family "Bacterial small subunit ribosomal RNA", at positions 28 to 351 of the family's 1533-position model. Lineage: Bacteria; Pseudomonadati; Bacteroidota. The record is from RNAcentral.
GAUGAACGCUAGCGGCAGGCUUAACACAUGCAAGUCGAGGGGCAGCACGGGUAGCAAUACUUGGUGGCGACCGGCGCACGGGUGAGUAACGCGUAUGCAACCUACCUUCAACUGGGGGAUAGCCCAGGGAAACUUGGAUUAAUACCCCAUAAGACAUUAGUGCCGCAUGGCAGAGAUGUUAAAGUUCCGGCGGUUGGAGAUGGGCAUGCGUGCCAUUAGGUAGUUGGCGGGGUAACGGCCCACCAAGCCUGCGAUGGCUACGGGGUCUAAAAGGAUGGUCCCGCACACUGGUACUGAGACACGGACCAGACUCCUACGGGAGGCAG